RNAcentral lists this ribosomal RNA (820 nucleotides) under uncultured bacterium. Its description in RNAcentral is "bacterial SSU rRNA". It matches the Rfam family "Bacterial small subunit ribosomal RNA", at positions 8 to 827 of the family's 1533-position model. The record is from RNAcentral.
AGAGUUUGAUCCUGGCUCAGGAUGAACGCUGGCGGCGUGCUUAACACAUGCAAGUCGAGCGAAGCACUUUGAAUGAAGUUUUCGGAUGGAUUUUAGAGUGACUGAGCGGCGGACGGGUGAGUAACGCGUGGGUAACCUGCCUUAUACAGGGGGAUAACAGUUAGAAAUGACUGCUAAUACCGCAUAAGCGCACAGUACCGCAUGGUACGGUGUGAAAAACUCCGGUGGUAUGGGAUGGACCCGCGUCUGAUUAGCUAGUUGGUGAGGUAACGGCCCACCAAGGCGACGAUCAGUAGCCGACCUGAGAGGGUGACCGGCCACAUUGGGACUGAGACACGGCCCAAACUCCUACGGGAGGCAGCAGUGGGGAAUAUUGCACAAUGGGGGAAACCCUGAUGCAGCGACGCCGCGUGAGUGAAGAAGUAUUUCGGUAUGUAAAGCUCUAUCAGCAGGGAAGAAAGUGACGGUACCUGACUAAGAAGCCCCGGCUAACUACGUGCCAGCAGCCGCGGUAAUACGUAGGGGGCAAGCGUUAUCCGGAUUUACUGGGUGUAAAGGGAGCGUAGACGGCUUAGCAAGUCUGAAGUGAAAGCCCCGGGGCUCAACCCCGGAACGGCUUUGGAAACUGUUAAGCUGGAGUACCGGAGAGGUAAGCGGAAUUCCUAGUGUAGCGGUGAAAUGCGUAGAUAUUAGGAGGAACACCAGUGGCGAAGGCGGCUUACUGGACGGUAACUGACGUUGAGGCUCGAAAGCGUGGGGAGCAAACAGGAUUAGAUACCCUGGUAGUCCACGCGGUAAACGAUGAAUUAUAGGUGUUGGU